This 292-nucleotide ribosomal RNA is filed under the name uncultured bacterium. RNAcentral describes it as "partial 16S ribosomal RNA". It matches the Rfam family "Bacterial small subunit ribosomal RNA", at positions 505 to 796 of the family's 1533-position model. The record is from RNAcentral.
GUGUCAGCCGCCGCGGUAAUACGUAGGGGGCAAGCGUUGUCCGGAUUUACUGGGUGUAAAGGGCGCGCAGGCGGGUUUGUAAGUCAGUGGUGAAAUCCUGCAGCUUAACUGCAGAACUGCCUUUGAUACUGCAAAUCUUGAGUGCGGAAGAGAGAGACGGAAUUCCAGGUGUAGUGGUGAAAUACGUAGAUAUCUGGAAGAACACCAGUUGCGAAGGCGGUCUCUUGGUCCGUAACUGACGCUCAGGCGCGAAAGCGUGGGUAGCAAACAGGAUUAGAUACCCCCGUAGUCC